Non-coding RNA from Microcebus murinus (gray mouse lemur), 879 nucleotides. The record is from RefSeq and is a predicted model, not a curated record. NCBI's taxonomy places the organism in Eukaryota, Metazoa, Chordata, Mammalia, Primates, Cheirogaleidae.
AAAUAAAACAGUGUGUGCCUGAGAUGGUUUUGAUUCCAAGAAUUAUAAAACAUAUUUUUUAAAAAGAGAGAACAAGAUGGAGAGAGAAAUGGAAGAGGAGGUGGGGGAGAAGGCCAGAUUGGAGCAAAUUGGGCACAGAUGGGGGAUGCAAUGGAGUUUUAGUGAUGCCCUACCACAAAUGUUGCUUCAAUUUUUCCUCUUCAAGAAACGUGAGUUUUAUUUCCUUAAAUUACAUAUUUUUUAAAAAAUUAAAAUUCUUGGAGUGCUUGUGGUUUAGAUCAACAGCUCAUCCUCCAGAAUCACAUCAGCCAAUCAGAUGGCUCCUGAAGUGUUAAAUACUGAGGCCCUUUCUCCCUUUAGGCUCAGCAAUGCCUUAGAGAGAUUACCAAUUGUGACAUCACUCUGGGAACCACCUAUCUCACCACUAGCUUUGGACAUGAGCCAGGUACUGCAUCUAUGGGAAAGGCUCAGGUACAGAUUGAGAGGAUUUAGACCAUAAGGAUUUGGGCCAUAAGAUCACCUCUGCUUCAGGCUGGAAUGCUCCUUCUCCAGAGUCCAGGAACUGACAUAUGCAAACACCCACCCAGAAGGACACGUCCAAGAAGAAAUGGAAAGAAAAAUGAUGGCCCAGAUGUUCUGUAACUUGCAGUGACUGCCAAAUCACCACAGACCCCAAGCACCUGGGAGGGCCAGGCAGCAUCAGGCCCUCACUUCCUGGUUUCAGGCAGCCAGGGACCCACGGCCAGGUGGUGACUCCGACAGCAUGCAGACUGGCCUGGAGAGAACCUUUAGAAGGGCACAGGCUGACGGGACUUGAGGGCUGAACAUGCAGGGCUGAUUUAUCACUUCCUUACUCAUAAAAAUGUGAUUCAAACUGCU